RNAcentral lists this long non-coding RNA (438 nucleotides) under Ananas comosus (pineapple). RNAcentral's name for it is "long non-coding RNA (ACOM_LNC013839)". Lineage: Eukaryota; Viridiplantae; Streptophyta; Magnoliopsida; Poales; Bromeliaceae. The record is from RNAcentral.
GGUCUCCUCGAACUAGACUGCUCCCCGCUAUUUUUUGCUGGUCUCUUCUUCUCUUUCUCCCUUUCCCAUAUUUCAGUCUACUCCUUCAUUACUGCCGUAUCUCUCCCAACCCAUAAAACCAUCUUAAUCACCUCACCCAAAGUUUGAAGGUGUUGCGGCUGUACAAACUGAGAAAUAUCUGGUCGUAGCCCUCUCUCAAAGAAAUAUGUCUUAUGCUGCUCAUCCCGUGCCACAAAAGGUACAAAAUUUAAAAUUUGAUAUUUUAAAUUAAAAAAUAAUUAAAAAAUUAAAAAUUAAAAAUUAAAAAUUAAAAAUAAUUAUGAAAUUUAAAAUUUAAAAUUUAAAAUUUAAAAAUUAAAAAUAUAAAUAAUUAUGAAAUUUAAAAUAUAAAAUUUUAAUAUAAAAUUUAAAUUUCAAACUUUAAAUUUAUAAUUUAAA